This 272-nucleotide ribosomal RNA is filed under the name Escherichia coli. RNAcentral describes it as "partial 23S ribosomal RNA". It matches the Rfam family "Bacterial large subunit ribosomal RNA", at positions 1 to 264 of the family's 2925-position model. The record is from RNAcentral. RNAcentral also lists the same sequence under 5 other names. Lineage: Bacteria; Pseudomonadati; Pseudomonadota; Gammaproteobacteria; Enterobacterales; Enterobacteriaceae.
GGGUUGUGAGGUUAAGCGACUAAGCGUACACGGUGGAUGCCCUGGCAGUCAGAGGCGAUGAAGGACGUGCUAAUCUGCGAUAAGCGUCGGUAAGGUGAUAUGAACCGUUAUAACCGGCGAUUUCCGAAUGGGGAAACCCAGUGUGUUUCGACACACUAUCAUUAACUGAAUCCAUAGGUUAAUGAGGCGAACCGGGGGAACUGAAACAUCUAAGUACCCCGAGGAAAAGAAAUCAACCGAGAUUCCCCCAGUAGCGGCGAGCGAACGGGGAG